This is a non-coding RNA of Paramuricea clavata, 440 nucleotides long. Lineage: Eukaryota; Metazoa; Cnidaria; Anthozoa; Malacalcyonacea; Plexauridae. The record is from the annotation of a GenBank genome assembly.
CAUCGUUGAACAUGUAUAACCGCGCACCUAAUUGGAGACUGGUGCCUACCUGCCUGCAACGUGUUUUUUUUUCAGAGGAAUAUUUUAAAAGCAAAAUGACAGAUUUUCAUAAAUUUGUAAGGUAAUUUUAGGGUUUCUUUAAAUGCUGUUUCUUUUUGAUAUUUAAUUAUUUAUAUUCUGCUAUAAUAUCCUAGCAAUCGUCAUUUGGCGUUGCAAUAGUUUAUUCAAAUAUAGUUAUAUACUUUAGUACUUAUGACUGAAUAAAUGUGAUUUAUUUAAUAUGCAUUGUUUAAUUUAAGCUGAUUUUUGGGUUUUCUUAUCUCUUAGGCUUAGGUCGUUGGUGUGGGUUGUAUUUCUGAUUGUUAAUUCUUCAUUGGCAAUAGAUAUGUCUAAAUUUAAGAAGUGUGAAGAUAGCAGCUUUUGCAAGUUUGUAUAUGAAA